RNAcentral lists this ribosomal RNA (581 nucleotides) under uncultured bacterium. RNAcentral describes it as "bacterial SSU rRNA". It matches the Rfam family "Bacterial small subunit ribosomal RNA", at positions 61 to 622 of the family's 1533-position model. The record is from RNAcentral.
GUCGAGCGACCGGAUUAACAGCUUGCUCUUAUGAAGUUAGCGGCGGACGGGUGAGUAACACGUGGGUACCCUGCCCAUAAGACUGGGAUAACUCCGGGAAACCGGGGCUAAUACCGGAUAACAUUUUGAACCGCAUGGUUCGAAAUUGAAAGGCGGCUUCGGCUGUCACUUAUGGAUGGACCCGCGUCGCAUUAGCUAGUUGGUGAGGUAACGGCUCACCAAGGCAACGAUGCGUAGCCGACCUGAGAGGGUGAUCGGCCACCCUGGGACUGAGACACGGCCCACACUCCUACGGGAGGCAGCAGUAGGGAAUCUUCCGCAAUGGACGAAAGUCUGACGGAGCAACGCCGCGUGAGUGAUGAAGGCUUUCGGGUCGUAAAACUCUGUUGUUAGGGAAGAACAAGUGCUAGUUGAAUAAGCUGGCACCUUGACGGUACCUAACCAGAAAGCCACGGCUAACUACGUGCCAGCAGCCGCGGUAAUACGUACGUGGCAAGCGUUAUCCGGAAUUAUUGGGCGUAAAGCGCGCGCAGGUGGUUUCUUAAGUCUGAUGUGAAAGCCCACGGCUCCACCGUGGAGGG